Molecule: non-coding RNA, 204 nt
Organism: Oryza glaberrima (African rice)
Lineage: Eukaryota; Viridiplantae; Streptophyta; Magnoliopsida; Poales; Poaceae
Source: Rfam
AAUGUAUGACGCUGUUGACUUUUUAUCCAACGUUUGAUCAUUUGUCUUAUUUAAAAAAUUUAUGUAAUUAUCAUUUAUUUUAUUAUGAGUUGAUUCGUCAUCAAAUGUUCUUUAAGUAUGACAUAAAUAUUUUUAUAUUUACACAAAAUUUUUAAAUAAAACGAAUGGUCAAACGUUGAUUGAAAAGUCAACGACGCCAUCCAU